CCCGGACUUGGAAUCCUUGUUAAACCGAAAGGAAAGAGUGGCAAAGUACUAUGAAGACAGCACUGAUCUCAGCAAGAGGCGCAACAUGCAGAGAAAUUCACAAUUCAGGAGGACCUGAUCCCUAGGACCAUGCCUCAGGACUACCUGGCCUGAUGACUCCUUGCUGUCCCAAGUCCACCUGGUCGUGCUGCUGCUCCAGUUUCAACUGUUCUGCCUGCAGCUAUGGAAUCCUGACCUGUUCACCAGACAUGUUACCUUGUCCCAGACCUGCUGUUUUCAACUCUAGAGACAGCAGGAGCGGUAGAGAUACUCUGAAUGAUCAGCUAUGAAAAGCUGACAUUUACUCCUAAGGUGCUGACCUGUUGCAACCUCUACAAC
Molecule: long non-coding RNA, 378 nt
Organism: Oncorhynchus tshawytscha (Chinook salmon)
Lineage: Eukaryota; Metazoa; Chordata; Actinopteri; Salmoniformes; Salmonidae
Source: Ensembl